This 314-nucleotide long non-coding RNA is filed under the name Oryza brachyantha (malo sina). RNAcentral describes it as "long non-coding RNA (OBRA_LNC001968)". Lineage: Eukaryota; Viridiplantae; Streptophyta; Magnoliopsida; Poales; Poaceae. The record is from RNAcentral.
ACUCCCUGAAUGGAACACCGAACACCACAUCUUCCAUCGCUCCAUCACUAGACUUGGGUUCAUAAUAUGUUAGGACUAGGAGGUAUUUGGAAUACAUGAAAAACAUGAAGCUCAUGUUACUCAUAGGGCAGUGAAAGAAAUUGGACGAUGGAUAGGAGGGCUUCAACGAGUACUAGUGAGGCACUAAAGGCCUCUUUGUUAGUGCUUCAAAUUUGAAGUGGCUUUGGGUACUUCCAAUAUAGAUCAAAAAUAAUUUCUAUCUAUAUAUUUCUAUGCCAUGUAAGUAAUUUGCUGAGGUGGUAUGUUAUUUAUUA